RNAcentral lists this ribosomal RNA (301 nucleotides) under uncultured bacterium. Its description in RNAcentral is "partial 16S ribosomal RNA". It matches the Rfam family "Bacterial small subunit ribosomal RNA", at positions 509 to 808 of the family's 1533-position model. The record is from RNAcentral.
CAGCAGCCGCGGUAAUACGUAGGUCCCGAGCGUUGUCCGGAUUUAUUAGGCGUAAAGCGAGCGCGGGCGGUUAGAUAAGUCUGAAGUUAAAGGCUGUGGCUUAACCAUAGUACGCUUUGGAAACUGUUUAACUUGAGUGCAAGAGGGGAGAGUGGAAUUCCAUGUGUAGCGGUGAAAUGCGUAGAUAUAUGGAGGAACACCGGUGGCGAAAGCGGCUCUCUGGCUUGUAACUGACGCUGAGGCUCGAAAGCCAGGGGAGCGAACGGGAUUAGAUACCCCCGUAGUCCCUGUCUCUUAUACC